UCCCUCAGAUCUUAGUUGGUAAAGAAUCUGCCUGCAGUGCAGAAGACCUGGGUUCAAUUCUUAGGUUGGGAA
RNAcentral lists this transfer RNA (72 nucleotides) under Capra hircus (goat). It matches the Rfam family "tRNA". Rfam says of the family: Transfer RNA (tRNA) molecules are approximately 80 nucleotides in length. RNAcentral also lists the same sequence under 1 other name. The record is from Rfam by way of RNAcentral. Lineage: Eukaryota; Metazoa; Chordata; Mammalia; Artiodactyla; Bovidae.